UACAGAGGUCUCAAGCGUUGUUCGGAUUUACUGGGCGUAAAGGGCUCGUAGGCGGCCAACUAAGUCAGACGUGAAAUCCCUCGGCUUAACCGGGGAACUGCGUCUGAUACUGGAUGGCUUGAGUUCGGGAGAGGGAUGCGGAAUUCCAGGUGUAGCGGUGAAAUGCGUAGAUAUCUGGAGGAACACCGGUGGCGAAGGCGGCAUCCUGGACCGACACUGACGCUGAGGAGCGAAAGCCAGGGGAGCAAACGGG
Molecule: ribosomal RNA, 253 nt
Filed under: uncultured bacterium
Lineage: Bacteria
Description: partial 16S ribosomal RNA
Rfam family: Bacterial small subunit ribosomal RNA
Source: RNAcentral